AUCAUAUUCUAGAUGUUGAGUUCAAGUAUCGAUAACCUUUGUCCUUAAUGCACCCUCCUCUGUUUUCAACCUUGCAACUGCCUUUAUAAUAAAGGCAUUGUCUCAUUCUGGGAAUACCUUGAGGUCAGGGUCUAUUUAUUGCACCGGUCUGUGUGGCCAGGUCUCCGACCUGGAACUCAUAGGUAAGUCACUGGUGUAAGUCACUGGUGUGACUGGAAGGACAGCACAGAUCUCCGCGGGUCGAGCUGCCCUUUGCUCUCUUCAUGUGGUAGAGGGGUAAUUGAUUAUAUUUCUCUUGGUUCUGGUGGGAUGCUGAGAAUCGUGAGUUACAGAGGGUGAGGGGAUUUCCAGACCCUGGAAUACUGGUAUCUUAAUGAUGACAGAAAGAAGUGGCUUCUUUUAUUUCUUACAGCAAAACAAUUUGUUUGCCUGGGGAUUUGGAGAAAGAGACGGAAUCUGGGGAUGUUUAUGAGAUUAGUGAUGGGAGCAUCGGCAAGACACCAAAAAGAUUUUCCUCGCUGCAGAAAUGAAGUUUUGCUUUUUAUUUUGGAAAUACAGGAAAAAUGCUGAAGAGCAAAGAACGACCCCAGAUGGAUCGCAGAAGCAGGGUUCGAAGGUACUGCCCUUGAACAGAUGAUCUUUCUAUUCUGGUGACUCUAACGAGAGCCAAUACUUCACAAAAAGCACAGGAGCUUUGUGGCACUUAGCUGUAAUCUUACCCCUUUGCUGAAAUCCCUCCUGCACUCAGGCUAGCCUGGUGAUCUGAUGUCACCGGGCGCAAGGGAUUAAUAAGCCUUGACAUUUUAUCCUAUCAGUGUAAUACCCAGCUCUUCUCAAGACUGCCUGGCCCUUGCUUUGGCAGCGGAUCACACAGGGGGAGCCGUAGCGGCUCAUAGACUUUCAAGACAGCAGAACAACCUUGGAGAACGAAUGCUCGGACUGCUGCAGGUUACAGCACCCAGAGUCCUGUGGACUGAGCCCAUGAUCUGAAGGCAAGGACUCUACUACUGAGCUACAUCCUCAGAUCUUUAACUUCAUGCAAAAGAGAUUGGACUUGAGGCGCAUCUUAAACCAAGACAUCCCAUGGGAUUGGCAAAUUAAUUGUGCUUGGAAGUUAUGAGAGCAGAGACCUGCAGAAAACUGAUCAGGAAACAAGAAUGGGACAUUAAGAUUCCACUGUGAUAAAUCACCUCACCAAGCCCAUCAUAUGCUGAGAUGUAGGACAGAAGCCUUCUGAACUUCUCGGGUUUUUCCCCCGUGAUGUAAUUGAUAUCAUACCUACUCAGUUGGCUACAGCUUUUAGGGGCUAAGUCUGUUUGCUGAAAUGUUUGCACUUCCUCCUCAACUGAAAGAAUUCAAAGACAUGAAGUGUCUACUGUGAAAAUACAUAACAAAUACAAAAGCUGUUCUCUAAAGGCCUAUCGGAGUGGCUACCACUGAAGCGAUUGCUCUCUACGGAACGUGUGGAAGAACAGCGCCAUGUUGAAUUCAUUGAGGCACUCUCUUCUGAUUUUUUUUUGUUCUAUUUUUUUUUAAAUAAUUUCCAUCAACAGACCUCCACCCCGAACAAAAGCAGGUAAAUACAAUGUCACUCUCUUCAGACACACCAGAAGAGGGCAUUGGAUCCCAUUACAGAUGGUUGUGAGCCACCAUGUGGUUACUGGGAAUUGAACUCAGGACCUGUAGAGGGCCGCAAUAACAUUCGCCACCACAAGAUGGCGCUGGCUUCCACUGCGCCCCACGUGGUAGGCCGAGACAGUUUCGCCAUUACAAGAUGGCGCUGGCCUCCACUGCGCCAGCCGACUUCCUUUCAGGAAGUUAACUGUGUGCACAUGUGCAAGAGUGCCUUCGUGCCAGGUCUUUGCCCACUCCGGGGCGUGCCUAAUGAGAUCAUGGGUAAGCAACCGAUCAGGUAUGGAUGCGCCGCGCUAGGGUGUAUAUAAGCCGCGCCAUGCUGGCACCCAGCGCCCUCUCUAUUAUUAAUAAAUAUAAGCAUUUGGCUACAGAAGGA
Non-coding RNA from Rattus norvegicus (Norway rat), 2011 nucleotides. Lineage: Eukaryota; Metazoa; Chordata; Mammalia; Rodentia; Muridae. The record is from RefSeq and is a predicted model, not a curated record.